Molecule: ribosomal RNA, 420 nt
Filed under: uncultured bacterium
Lineage: Bacteria
Description: bacterial SSU rRNA
Rfam family: Bacterial small subunit ribosomal RNA
Source: RNAcentral
GAAUAUUGGUCAAUGGAGGAAACUCUGAACCAGCCAUCCCGCGUGAAGGACGACGGCCCUCUGGGUUGUAAACUUCUUUUAUUAGGGGAGAAACGCUCCGAUUCAUCGGAGCCUGACGGUACCUAAUGAAUAAGCACCGGCUAACUCCGUGCCAGCAGCCGCGGUAAUACGGAGGGUGCAAGCGUUAUCCGGAUUUACUGGGUUUAAAGGGUGCGCAGGCGGAUCUUUAAGUCAGUGGUGAAAGCCCAGAGCUCAACUUUGGAAUUGCCAUUGAUACUGGAGAUCUUGAAUAUGGUCGAGGUGGGCGGAAUGAGUCAUGUAGCGGUGAAAUGCUUAGAUAUGACUCAGAACACCGAUUGCGAAGGCAGCUUGCUAGACCAUUAUUGACGCUCAGGCACGAAAGCGUGGGGAGCGAACAGG